GACGAACGCUGGCGGCGUGCUUAACACAUGCAAGUCGAACGGAAAGGCCCUGCUUUUGUGGGGUGCUCGAGUGGCGAACGGGUGAGUAACACGUGAGUAACCUGCCCUUGACUUUGGGAUAACUUCAGGAAACUGGGGCUAAUACCGGAUAGGAGCUCCUGCUGCAUGGUGGGGGUUGGAAAGUUUCGGCGGUUGGGGAUGGACUCGCGGCUUAUCAGCUUGUUGGUGGGGUAGUGGCAUACCAAGGCUUUGACGGGUAGCCGGCCUGAGAGGGUGACCGGCCACAUUGGGACUGAGAUACGGCCCAGACUCCUACGGGAGGCAGCAGUGGAGAAUAGUGCACAAUGGGCGGAAGCCUGAUGCAGCAACGCCGCGUGCGGGAUGACGGCCUUCGGGUUGUAAACCGCUUUCGCCUGUGACGAAGCGUGAGUGACGGUAAUGGGUAAAGAAGCACCGGCUAACUACGUG
This 468-nucleotide ribosomal RNA is filed under the name uncultured bacterium. RNAcentral's name for it is "partial 16S ribosomal RNA". It matches the Rfam family "Bacterial small subunit ribosomal RNA", at positions 28 to 507 of the family's 1533-position model. The record is from RNAcentral.